UUUGUGUUUUUGUUUUCUUUUUUUUUUUUGCGUUCUAUUUAUUUUUAGUUUUCAAACAUGUUUAAAAUAUUGUUUCUGUUUUGGUAGGAAGAAGGUACUUUUUCAAUAACCUACUCUCGGGGGAACUGUGUGGCAAUGGAGUGUGUGUGUGUGUGUGUGUGUGUGUGUCUUUCAGAGUUCAGCAGAGACUCUGAAGCAAGGAAAGUGUUUUGUGUUCGUCCCGCUGUGGCCUUGGUCUAGUUGUAGAUUACCACAUCCUGGGUAGUUUUACACACACCAACUUCAUGUGCUGCUGAAGCCAGAGGCUGUGAAUCUGCAGAAAAAGACCUAGUUCUUUUGAGCUCUGGUGAGAGACCCGAUACCCAACCAUUUAUUCCAGCUUUUCGAAUUUGUGCUGGUUGCAGGUUCACAGAGUAUGAAGGCCUCUGGUUCUAUUCAGCUGCCUCCUCUUUCGGUUUUUUAAUCUGUGGGCCUCCACUCAGUCAUCGAUGGGAGAAGAUUUCGGUUGGAGCUGCUUUGGCUUACAAAGGUAAUUGUAGCUGUUUGUGGAGAAAGGCUGACCUUAUAACCCCUCACCAAUUUAUCCAGAGACUAAGUACCGUCCUUUGUCGUAUAGCUGCCAUAUACCUUUUUAAUGUGCAUUAUUUCAUAUUUGUUUUUUACCAGGUGAUAUUUAGAGACAAGGAUAAAGUGACAUUGAAUGUAAAAGAAGAAAGUAUUGGUAAAGAAAUAUUCAAGGAGGUGUGUUCAAGUGGAAGGGGACGAGGAUAAACCUGUGGCUGAUUCAUGCCGAUGUUUGGUAGAAAGUAACACAGUAGUGUAAAGCAAUUACCCUUCAAUUAAAAAUAAAUAAAUUUACCAAGAGACA
RNAcentral lists this long non-coding RNA (868 nucleotides) under Bos indicus x Bos taurus (hybrid cattle). Its description in RNAcentral is "lncRNA (ENSBIXG00000022320.1)". The record is from RNAcentral. Lineage: Eukaryota; Metazoa; Chordata; Mammalia; Artiodactyla; Bovidae.